UUUCCGUAGGUUAACCUGCGGAAGGAUCAUUCAUAAUAAAGUGUUUUAUGGCACUUUUUAAAAAUCCAUAUCCACCUUGUGUGCAAUGUUAGAUCUCGUCAAUCUUGGCGAGAUUUUUAUACAUCAACUCAUUCUUUAACUAAUUUGUCUGAAAAAUAUUAUGAAUACUUAAUUCAAAAUACAACUUUCAACAACGGAUCUCUUGGCUCUC
RNAcentral lists this unclassified non-coding RNA (211 nucleotides) under plant metagenome. Its description in RNAcentral is "partial contains small subunit ribosomal RNA, internal transcribed spacer 1, and 5.8S ribosomal RNA". The record is from RNAcentral.